RNAcentral lists this ribosomal RNA (253 nucleotides) under uncultured bacterium. RNAcentral's name for it is "partial 16S ribosomal RNA". It matches the Rfam family "Bacterial small subunit ribosomal RNA", at positions 524 to 776 of the family's 1533-position model. The record is from RNAcentral.
UACGGAGGGUGCAAGCGUUAAUCGGAGUUACUGGGCGUAAAGCGCGCGUAGGCGGCGAUGCAAGUCGGAUGUGAAAGCCCCGGGCUCAACCCGGGAACUGCAUUUGAUACUACAUGGCUUGAGUGUCGUAGAGGGAAGCGGAAUUCCGGGUGUAGCGGUGAAAUGCGUAGAUAUCCGGAGGAACACCAGUGGCGAAGGCGGCUUCCUGGACAAACACUGACGCUGAGGCGCGAAAGCGUGGGGAGCAAACAGG